GAUUAAUUUGGUUCGCACCACAAGAAAAAGAAGACGACCGCAAGAUCAUAAGCCCCGUUAAGUUAGUCCAAUUUUAAACCAGACCACGUGAAUCACUGUUAUUAUCAGGCCAAUAUCACUUCCUGUAAGAGUCCAUGGGCUCCCCACCUCGUCUCAGCCCAUUUGAACUCCUAAAGCACGCGAAGCUAACUCGUUUCCAAGCCUGCAUCUCUGCAGAAUAGGCCCGGGGACUUUCCUGAGCCAUAACCCAAUGAACAGGCCCAAGCCCAUUCACAUCGUCUUGCGGUCUAGUUAGUGUACUUGCACUUGAGAAUUGUAUUAAAAUAGGAUUUCGGACUAUCUGUAAGGCGAUAUGGGACAUUAGUUGCUUCAAUGUCCGUCAAUGAUGUGAAAACACUUUCUGAAGUCGAAUUUUAACUCCCAACGUAUACAAUGGGCUGCUAGUUGUAGCGCACAGAAUUUCUUAUGAUUUUCCGGUGUUUAUUUUUACGUUUCCAACUAAUAUUUGAAUUUUAUACCGCGUAAAUCUUAUUAAAAGGGAAACACUCUUAUCAAGAUUUUUCUCAUUCCUCGUCUCAUUCACUAAAUUAUAUGGUUAAACAAAAUAUUUUGCAUAGUAACAUAAGAAAAAAAAUUCACUUUUCCAUUCUUGAAAGGUAUCUCAUUCAACAAAAAGAAAUAAAAUAAUGAAGUCAAACCGACAAAAAAAUAUAAACAAAGUGAAUUAUGAAGUCUCAAAAAAGAUCUUAUAUAUGCUAUAUUUGUGUGUGAUGAUCAUGUAUGUGGUAUGUACAUUAUAUAAGAACAUGCCUUGGCUAAAGUUGACAUCAUCUUUCACGUAAACACCUUUGUUUGUUUAGGCUCUUCACGCACCUGCUUGAUGUGAAAAUCACACGAGUUGCCAAGUCAAUGAAAAGUGUCAAAAUGGAAUAUGGGAUCCUACUAUAGGGUGUUUAAAUGGUGCAAGUCUUAGUUGUGGUAUCUAAGUGAAAGAUAGUACCAACUUUAGGUGUCUGUCGAUAGGUUCAACCUUGUUUAUAUGGUUUUGAGAUUCAUUUUUGAAGGAAUGUUGGAAAUUUCUACUAAAAUCUUGUGGAGAGCUUGAGGUUUCGACAAAAAAGGCGAAUGAUCGGAACCUUUAAUCUGGAAAACUUGUUCAGGUUGAUUUGUAUCUAUCAUGACUUCUUGAAGAGAUGCAGGAAUUGCAAAAUCAUCUCGUGUUUUGACAUAGAAUCUUGGAAUAGAACCAUAAUUUGUUGUAGAAAGUGAAAGUUUCUCUGUUAAUGGUCCAAAAGGAACUUGCCUCAUUGAUACUGAUGCUAAUUCAACAUCCUGAAAUUAACACGAACGUGUCAAAAAUGUUGUUACACCCUUGUCGGAUCCUCCAAAAAUACCUACAUUUGAAGGACUUGACAUGCAUCUGUUGACAUUUUUGAAGAGUCAGAGCAACAUAAUUAAACGCGAUCAAUAUACCUUAGCAGGAGUUUGAUUGAAUAAUACUUCUUUGAGCAAUGACUUGUCAUAAUCUAUAGCAGUUGGAGGAUUAUUCUUCCCAUUUGCAUAGCGAAAAAUAUGAGCGCGUUGACAUAGGUUGUUCAAUCCAAGCUACAAAAUAGCAAAUUUAAUAACUAAUAUCUGUAUAACUAAUAUCAUUUUCUCGGUAUAACUAAUGUAACAAACCUGUACGGAGAAUAUAUCGAGUGUACUCUGUCCACUCUUCAGCAUUGCUGCGGCAACAAAAAUUGCUGCAGACACUUUUGAUGGAUACAAUUCCAUUGCAUAAGAAAUGCAAGCUCCCCCUAUAUCGUGCCCGACUAAUAUAACCUGCAUCAAAAGAGUACUAUUUUUUUUCAAAUUUAUUCCUAUUUGAAAGUGAAUAUAUAUCAUCAUAUUACCUUUUUAUCAUAGUCGAUUUUUUCGAUGAAAUCAGUGAGGGGUUUAACAUAUUGAGACAUUGUAGUAAUGUUGUUGGAAUCAAAAAAAUGUGCACCAGAACCAGUUAAGUCAAUUGCAUCAACUUGAUAUCCGGAUUCUUUGAGAAGUGUUGUAGUUUUGUACCAACACCAUGCACCAAAACCACCUCCAUGUACUAGAACAAAAUGUUUGUUCUUCAAAUCUUCAACAUUUGUACCCUGAAAAAAAAGGUUUAAAAUAUGUUAUUAUGCAUAAUACCACAAAAUGUUACUUCUCGUAAUAGAGUUAGCUGAUCCUGUUGCUGGCCGGUGCUCGUUUGAUUGCUGGUUAGAGAGGAAGUAUUUACGUUUUAAACAUAACAUUGCUAAUAUAUACAAUGCUUGGUUUAUGUUUUCCUUUUCCGCAUAAUUACUACAUGUAUAAGUUAUAAGAAAAUCUAUGUAUUAUUUUAUGCAGGAUACAACAUGAAAAACUAAAUUCUGCAUAACUAAUCCUUGCAUUACUAAUAUCUCUAUAACUAAUUCCUACAUUACUAAUACUUGCAUAACUCUAACUAGCAACCAAACCAAACAACCCCUAAAAUCAUCAUAUUAUUUUUUCUCACAUUAAAAUAGGCAACUAGGUGAACCACGUGUGACUUGAUCAAAGAGUUCAAAAAUGUCAAUCAAAUGAUGAAAGAUUUUAAAUAAAAAAAUUGACUACCAAUACUUUAUAAACAAGAGGACAAUUAAGAAAAUUAAUUGAAAACAAACCAAAACAAAAAAGUUUGAUUACUCAAAACCGAAAAAUUGACCUUUCUACACGUAUAGAGACCUUUUUCUCUUGUUCUUUCGACCCACAAUCACGAGGAUCAAUAGUAUCCUCUCUUACCUCGAACCUGACUCGAGGUGGAGAAAGCCUCACUUGUCUUAACAAACAAAAAGUUUGGUUAUUUUAAUGUGACAAAAAAAAUAAUUUUGUCACUUAGUCAUAUAAUUCGAUGAAUAAAAUAGUUUACAUUUUCUCAUGUUAUAGUGGAUAAAGUUCAGUUACUAUACGUCAGGUAAAUUUAAAGUACUAAUACCUAAAAAGCAAAUAGUAUAGCAAGACAAACCUGAUGAUGAAAGUCGAGAUGUUGAGGAAAUGAAUCAGAUAGUGAUCUAGCACGAGUUCUAGGCAUAAUAUUUCUAGUUUGCCUCCUUGAAGAACAAGUUAAAGUAUCUUUUAGAGAAACGGAACGUUCAAAUUGACUGAGCGUUCCGUUUUGCUGAUGAUGUUGCAAUAGCAGUGUUGCUGCAACACGAGCCUGUUCUCGAAUAUAAUUAUCACCAUCAAAAUUAUUACCUUCAUGGUCAAUAGUUCUCGAAGAUUUUCGACUAGUUGAUCUUGAGAUACAUGAAGGAGGUGGAACAGAAUGAUGAGCACGACCAUUAGAUGAUCUUCUAGUGAUAUUAUCACCAUCAAAAUAAUUAUUGUUACCUUCAUGAUGAUCGAUAAUUCUCGUAGAAUUUGGAUAAAUUCUAUCUGAUUUUCGACUAGUUGAUCUUGAGAUACAUGGAGGAGGUGGAACAGAAUGACAAACACGACCAUUAGAUGAUCGACUACUACGAAUUGUGCUGUUUUUGUUGAUUUUUCUAAUUUUUUUGGUUUGAUUUUUGUUAGAGAAACACGCUAAUGAAUUGCCCAUAUUGUUAGCAUGUGAAUGAGAAGAAAAUUUUGUGACAUGAAUGUUCAUAUAUGUUUGCAAAAAGAAAUGGAAAGUUGUUAAUGAAAGUGAAAUUUCUAAGAACGUGUGGAGUCAAUGAGAAAAUUAUAAAAAGUGGUCAACUUUUGUUUGGUGUAGGUCCAAAUUGUCCUUUUUUUUUUUUUUUAAUUUCCAAAACGGUAGGUAGUGUCCGCGUUGAAGUCCCGAUCUAAUUCGGAUCGCGCAUUGCAGGGCCCAUUAGGGUGACAGUGCUCCCAACAGAGUUUUCUCUAUAUCCUGAUCAAACGCUCGACCUCUGGUUAAGGGUGAAACAACUUCAUCUACUGCACCACAAGUUAUGUUGAUGUUCCAAAUGGUCCUUAAAUUACACUUUAGCAAUUUUGAUCCCUUAAACUUGCUAAAUAUUUAAAGAACUUUAUCUGUUAGAUUCGAUGAAAAUUAUAAUUCCAAAAAAGAUUUAUCGGACACUUAAAGUCGAAUGUACAUUUUGAAGUUUCUGCCACUUCUUAUUUAUUGCUAGAGUCUGAUGCAGUCUUUUAAGGCACAAUUCAUAUUAUUUUGCUCUAUUUUUUUUAUGUCUGAAAUACUAUUUUUUAUGUUGUAAUUUCUAAAAUUUGAUAGGACCUUUCUAGUGCUUUUGUGUUAAUUUUUUUUGUCUAUAGUUCCCUUCGAACAUAACACGCUAAAUAGUAGUACUAUAUAAAGAUUUAAUUCUAGAGUCUACAUAAAUACAAAAUAUUUUAUGGAUCAUAUUAUUUUUUAAAGAUCAAUAUUGAUGUUUACUUUUAGCAAAUUUAAAAAAUCAUCUCACUUCAAAGUAUAUUUAAGAGAUUAUUUUAAACAUACCUUAAAAAUAUAAGGGUCCAUUUUUGUCAUUUCUGGAAUCAAUUGGAAAAUUGGUUUUUGGAAAGUAGUGUGGAAGAGAAAAAGAAAUUCAUAAAUUCAUAUUAUGCAGUGGUACAAUUUUGACCUUUGAAUUAGGAAAAAAGAUUGUUAUGCAUUAUCUAAACAACCUACACAUCACUACUUUGGAAUCUAGUGGAAUAUUUCUUACAUCCCAUUUUUUUAAAAAAGGAAGGUGCUUGGACCAAUGAAAAAUUUACAAUAUAAUAUACUAUAUGUUGUUGAAGAUAUAUUUGUCAUAGUAACAAGUUUGAUAUACAGGCACAUCAACCUCAGUUGUAGUGUGGUGAUAAAAUUAUUUUAUGCUUAAUUAUAUAUUUAGAUUUGAGUUCUAAAUAUGGAUAAAUUUUUAUUAGGAGCGUCUUUGAAACUUCAAUGCAGGUACUGGAUAUCAGAUAGGAAUUUAGAAAAAAAGUUUGAUGAAUACAUAUACUUAAAGUAUUUUCUCCAUUCAUUUUUACUUAUUAUAUUUCAACUUGAUAUAUUCAUUAAGAAAACAAUACUGUCACACCCCUGUUUUUCACCGCAUCCGACUCCGCUAGGGAGUUGGUUUUAGAGAAAAUGGGUUUUUCCAAUUAAAGUGACGUUCUGGAAAGGGAUUAUUUUAUUUACAGAGUCGCCACUUGAAAUGGAGUUUGGGUGUUCCAAGUCACCUUAUUGAAUCCCUAUUCAAAAGGAAAUGACUCUUUAUUUUUAUUUUUUGAUCUGUGAACUAGGAAUCCGGAUAAGGAAGGAAUCCGGAUAAGGAAUUCUGUUGACCGAGGGGAAGGUGUUAGGCACCCCUCG
This 5287-nucleotide long non-coding RNA is filed under the name Capsicum annuum. RNAcentral's name for it is "long non-coding RNA (CANN_LNC018046)". Lineage: Eukaryota; Viridiplantae; Streptophyta; Magnoliopsida; Solanales; Solanaceae. The record is from RNAcentral.